CCCCUAGAUGUUCUGGGCCGCACGCGCGCUACACUGAACAGUUCAACAAGUCUUAACCUUGGCCGAUAGGUCUGGGUAAUCUUUGAACGCUGUUCGUGAUUGGGAUAGACCUUUGCAAUUAUGGGUCUUCAACGAGGAAUUCCUAGUAAACGCAAGUCAUCAGCUUGCAUUGAUUACGUCCCUGCCCUUUGUACACACCGCCCGUCGCACCUACCGAUUGGACGUUUUAGUGAGGAUUUUGGACUGAGCCAAUGGUGGUUCACACCACUGUUGUGCAUGGAAAGAUCUCCAAACUUGAGCGUUUAGAGGAAGUAAAANUCGUANCA
This 326-nucleotide ribosomal RNA is filed under the name uncultured eukaryote. RNAcentral describes it as "partial 18S ribosomal RNA". It matches the Rfam family "Eukaryotic small subunit ribosomal RNA", at positions 1470 to 1796 of the family's 1831-position model. The record is from RNAcentral.